Molecule: RNase P RNA, 342 nt
Filed under: bovine gut metagenome
Description: Bacterial RNase P class A
Rfam family: Bacterial RNase P class A
About the family: Ribonuclease P (RNase P) is a ubiquitous endoribonuclease, found in archaea, bacteria and eukarya as well as chloroplasts and mitochondria.
Source: RNAcentral
GGGUAAUUGCGUAAGGCUAACUUAUGAGGAAAGUCCGAGCUCCGCAGGGCGGGAUAACGGCUAACGGCCGCCGGGGGUGACCCUCGGGAAAGUGCAACAGAAAUAUACCGCCGCACUCGGUGUCUUGUUCAUUCCAAAGGCACUUAUGCGGUAAGGGUGGAAAGGCGAGGUAAGAGCUCACCGGCUUAUUUGGUAACAAGUAAGCCCUGUAAACCCUAUCCGGAGCAAUGUCGACUAAAGUGGCUUGCCCGGCCUAUACUUUGAAGGACAGCUGGAGCCGUGCAGUAAUGUACGGUCGAGAUAGAUAAUUACCUGAAAAACAGAACUCGGCUUACAGGUGCA